This 407-nucleotide unclassified non-coding RNA is filed under the name uncultured fungus. RNAcentral's name for it is "partial contains 5.8S ribosomal RNA and internal transcribed spacer 2". The stretch from base 1 to 133 matches the Rfam family "5.8S ribosomal RNA", at positions 22 to 154 of the family's 154-position model. Lineage: Eukaryota; Fungi. The record is from RNAcentral.
UGGUUCUCGCAUCGAUGAAGAACGCAGCGAAUUGCGAUAAGUAAUGUGAAUUGCAGAAUUCAGUGAAUCAUCGAAUCUUUGAACGCAUCUUGCGCUCCUUGGUAUUCCGAGGAGCACGCCUGUUCGAGUGUCGUGAAUACCUCAAGCCGUGAAUUUUCUAAUUCGUGGUUUGGACUUGGACUUUUGCCGUUGUCAAAACGGCUGGUCUCAAAUGCAUUAGCUGACCCACGCUUUGCGUGCUUGGUUCUUACUCGGCGUGAUAAUUUAUCUGACCGCCGAGGACAUUCGCCUUCUUGGUGAAUGGCCAAGUGUGCCUUGGACCGCUUCCAAUCCCCGGCCUUAAUCGGUUGGGAAAACAUUGACAUCUUCAAACUUUUGACCUCGAAUCAGGCGGGACUACCCGCUGA